GAGUUUGAUCGUGGCUCAGGAUGAACGCUGGCGGCGUGCUUAACACAUGCAAGUCGAACGGAGAUUAUACGCAGAGGCGAUUUCGGUCAAAUCAUGUGUAAUCUUAGUGGCGGACGGGUGAGUAACGCGUGGGUAACCUGCCUUACACUGGGGGAUAACACUUAGAAAUAGGUGCUAAUACCGCAUAAGCGCACGAAGCCGCAUGGAUUUGUGUGAAAAACUCCGGUGGUGUAAGAUGGACCCGCGUCUGAUUAGCUUGUUGGCGGGUAACGGCCCACCAAGGCGACGAUCAGUAGCCGGCCUGAGAGGGUGGACGGCCACAUUGGGACUGAGACACGGCCCAAACUCCUACGGGAGGCAGCAGUGGGGGAUAUUGGACAAGUGGGGGAACCCUGAUCCAGCGACGCCGCGUGAGUGAAGAAGUAUUUCGGUAUGUAAAGCUCUGUCAGCGAGGGAAGAAAGAAAUGACGGUA
RNAcentral lists this ribosomal RNA (473 nucleotides) under uncultured microorganism. Its description in RNAcentral is "bacterial SSU rRNA". It matches the Rfam family "Bacterial small subunit ribosomal RNA", at positions 9 to 477 of the family's 1533-position model. The record is from RNAcentral.